UACGGAGGAUGCGAGCGUUAUCCGGAUUUAUUGGGUUUAAAGGGUGCGUAGGCGGGCUUUUAAGUCAGCGGUAAAAAUUCGGGGCUCAACCCCGUCCGGCCGUUGAAACUGGGGGUCUUGAGUGGGCGAGAAGAAGGCGGAAUGCGUGGUGUAGCGGUGAAAUGCAUAGAUAUCACGCAGAACCCCGAUUGCGAAGGCAGCCUUCCGGCGCCCUACUGACGCUGAGGCACGAAAGUGCGGGGAUCGAACAGG
This 252-nucleotide ribosomal RNA is filed under the name uncultured bacterium. RNAcentral describes it as "partial 16S ribosomal RNA". It matches the Rfam family "Bacterial small subunit ribosomal RNA", at positions 524 to 776 of the family's 1533-position model. The record is from RNAcentral.